CAUUGCCCUGCUUGAUGAAGCAUGGUAUGAUAAAAUUCCUUUGUCCUUGGGCUGUGAUAUUUAAGGGAUCUGUUUUAGGGAGUUUGAAUUGUCUUUGUCAUUCUCCAGUUAAAAGGUAUUUCCGAGAAGGCUCUGGUGGUUUUUUUGUUUUUUAAUUGACUGGAUGUGGUGAACGUUUCUUGCUUGCAGUAUGUUUCCAAAGUCAACUCAUG
This 212-nucleotide unclassified non-coding RNA is filed under the name Hevea brasiliensis (rubber tree). Lineage: Eukaryota; Viridiplantae; Streptophyta; Magnoliopsida; Malpighiales; Euphorbiaceae. The record is from RNAcentral.